Molecule: long non-coding RNA, 1228 nt
Organism: Clupea harengus (Atlantic herring)
Lineage: Eukaryota; Metazoa; Chordata; Actinopteri; Clupeiformes; Clupeidae
Exons: 2
Source: RefSeq, a predicted model, not a curated record
GUGUGUGUGUGUGUGUGUGUGUGUGUGUGUGUGUGUGUGUGUGUGCGUGUGUGUGUAGGAGGAGGCAAGUGAACACAUUAUGCCACAGACUCAUGAGCCCUGGGUCUCCCAAAGACGUGCCGGAGUGGGGGGAGGAGAGACGGGGGCAUCUCAGGGCAGCCUGAGAGCGAGGCCUCAGACGGGCCUGGAGCUGACCAGUGAGACACCAGAUGAGUGUGGACGCCCCGAAAGGUCAGCAGCGAUGACUCCCCCAGACGCCAGCGCUGGCGUGGACGCCCCGAGCUCCAGAGUCACACACCAUCAACAGCGCGGACGCCUCUAGUGUCCACUCUCAGCCACCGUUAAGAGCACCAACGCCUUCAGGCACGAGACUCAGUCGCUUUAAACAGCAUCAACCCCCAUAGGCAGAAGAGUCAUCCACCCUAAAUUAUGACACACACACACACACACACAAACACACACAAGCACACACAUACAUAAUCACACAUAGCAUACAUGCAGAAGCACACACAGUCACACACACUCAUAUCCAUACAGCGCUAAUAGUCAUCUGCUCUAAUCAGUCAGACCCCCUUUAGCGGUAAGAGUCACCCUCCCUUGGCAGCAUCUCUCGUGGAAACGAGGGGGUGGGAGGGAUGGGGGGGUUAGUGUGGGUGGCCGAGGAGGAAAGAGAGGUCUGGGGCGCUCAUUAUCAGGUCAAGUCAAGUCCUAUUUAUCCAUAAAGCACAUUUAAACACACCAGGAGUUGGAGCAAAGUGCUUUCCAGUCUAAUUUCAAAUAUGGCUUACUACGUGCAUAUUAAGUGUGUUGUUUUGGAACAACUUAAGUAUAUUAAGUGUUCUUUUAGAAUGCUCAAGCCCAGUGUUAAGUUACUUGCUAUAGAUUGUAAUAUACUUAGUUUUGUUCAAAUGGAACAACGUUAAGUAUCUCUAGUGUAAUUUAAACGAACUUAUUUAAAUUUCAUUCAAAAUGUAUUUGAAGUGAAAUUGAAAUAAGUAAAUCUUUUUGUGUGAACAUAUACUUAAAAAAUUGAACAAUACAUGUAAUUUUGAUUUUGAUUAAUGUUUAGAAAAUAUACUACAAUGUUGCUAGAAAUAUGCUUAUGUGUUAGCAUAGUUCUUAAAAGCAUAACAAAGCAUAUUUUCAUUACAAGUAUACUUCUCAGUAGCAUGUUUAAUUAAGUGCACUUAAAGCAAGGGUUUGAGAAAUACAAAUGUACUGCAAACAU